UACGGGGGGGGCAAGCGUUGUUCGGAAUUACUGGGCGUAAAGGGCUCGUAGGUGGCCAACUAAGUCAGACGUGAAAUCCCUCGGCUUAACCGGGGAACUGCGUCUGAUACUGGAUGGCUUGAGUUCGGGAGAGGGAUGCGGAAUUCCAGGUGUAGCGGUGAAAUGCGUAGAUAUCAGGAGGAACACCGAUGGCGAAGGCAGCUCGCUGGGACGGUACUGACGCUGAGGCGCGAAAGCGUGGGGAGCGAACAGG
This 253-nucleotide ribosomal RNA is filed under the name uncultured bacterium. Its description in RNAcentral is "partial 16S ribosomal RNA". It matches the Rfam family "Bacterial small subunit ribosomal RNA", at positions 524 to 776 of the family's 1533-position model. The record is from RNAcentral.